UACAAGUGCAUAGGAUGGAUUGCUGGCUGCUUUUCAAGAACACAGUCAGUGCUACAAAAACUUUGCAAGAUGGCAAAUUUUCUCAUGUUUCCUGUUCCUUGCUCUGCUAGGACCUGCUAGAAGGAACAAUUUCUUGAAUUUAGGGUUAUUAAUCUAGGUGAAAUUAACUCUGUUAGAGGAGCAAAACUGAGAACAUCAUACAAAAAUGACCCAGUAUGUUUUCUGAGAGUGCAAAACCCAUCUUGCUGUCUAUCCUUGGAGGACACAAUCCAUCCUCAGUUGGUUUGUACAAGUUACCAUCAGAGAUAUAAGCUCACAAAGACUUACUGUCACUAUGAAAAUAAGCACAUUAAAUCACAAAACACUCUAACAGAAAAACAUAAAUCUUGAUUGGCUGUCUUCAGUCCCCUGAAGUGCCUGAUGCUGGCAGAACAGGUCUUUUAAAACUGAAGUCCAGCUGCUCAGUUACUGUAGAUCAGCAUAAGAUGUUGUGAAGAGGAAAAGCAUUGGUAGUGCAUAAAGGUUGUUUUAAAGAGAUCAGUGAAUAACUAAAUGUUUAACAUGCCCACUGGGAUGUGUAUAAAACAGAGUCUGAUUUGCAGAGAAGAAGAUUUAAAUUACAUAUUUAAAAAAAAUAUUAUCUAGUGGCUAAGCAGAAGCAGGCUGUGUUGCUAACCUCCUUCACUGGGAGUUCAUAAGAACUGAUCAGACUAACAUCUGCCACACAUGGAUUCUGGAUUCUGCUCCAGUGGAGAGGCUAAACUGUGUGUGCUCUGGAGAUCUCUUCAGUGCUUACAAAGUGUGAAGAAAUAGAACUCAGAAUUGAAACAGUUAUGGAUUUUCAAAACACCUUUGUCUCCUUGCUUCCUGUUCAAGACAGACCGCAAGACUCAGAGAUUGGUUCAAUCCCAUGUGUUAAUCCCUGUGUUAUUCAGCCUGCACUUAAUUUCUGAGCACAGCUAAGAGACAGCCAUACAUGUAAAACAUUCUAGCAAAUGUAGUUAAAUCAAUCCAGUAAAAUUUUAAUAUUCCUUUUCAUGCUAAAGUGAGCUAUAACUGCUAUUUAACUUCAUAGUUAACUACAUUAUAUAAGUAUCUAUUUAUUACUGUAUAACUAUGAACAUAUAAUUAUAAAAUUGUAUAUGGUAGUU
This 1151-nucleotide long non-coding RNA is filed under the name Cyanistes caeruleus (blue tit). RNAcentral describes it as "lncRNA (ENSCCEG00000022723.1)". The record is from RNAcentral. Lineage: Eukaryota; Metazoa; Chordata; Aves; Passeriformes; Paridae.